Molecule: long non-coding RNA, 209 nt
Filed under: Vigna radiata
Lineage: Eukaryota; Viridiplantae; Streptophyta; Magnoliopsida; Fabales; Fabaceae
Description: long non-coding RNA (VRAD_LNC017680)
Source: RNAcentral
UUUUUCUUAAAUUUUAUUAAAUAAAAGGUAUAAAUGUCAAUUAGGAGGUGUAAGAUGAAAGAGGUGAGGUGUAAUGAGGAACACUCAAAUAUCAAAACAAUAAUAAUUGACAUUAACACUAACACGUGACAUUAAUUUAUCAUAUGAUAUUGUCCUGUCACUUGACAUUCACUUGACAUUGUCAUGUUAUAUGACAUUCUUCUAUCAAG